RNAcentral lists this transfer RNA (77 nucleotides) under Candidatus Thorarchaeota archaeon. Its description in RNAcentral is "tRNA-Asp". It matches the Rfam family "tRNA". Rfam says of the family: Transfer RNA (tRNA) molecules are approximately 80 nucleotides in length. The record is from RNAcentral. Lineage: Archaea; Promethearchaeati; Candidatus Thorarchaeota.
GCCCCUGUAGUGUAGCCCGGCUAGCAUCCAAGACUGUCACUCUUGGGAUCCGGGUUCAAAUCCCGGCGGGGGCGCCA